Molecule: ribosomal RNA, 1056 nt
Filed under: uncultured Basidiomycota
Lineage: Eukaryota; Fungi; Basidiomycota
Description: eukaryotic LSU rRNA
Rfam family: Eukaryotic large subunit ribosomal RNA (bases 622-1056)
Source: RNAcentral
CUUGGUCAUUUAGAGGAAGUAAAAGUCGUAACAAGGUUUCCGUAGGUGAACCUGCGGAAGGAUCAUUAAUGUAGACCGGGGGGACACCAAUCGGUCCCUCCUCUUCAUCCCACCCCUCAUGUGAACCAUGGCGUGGCGUUUCAGUAGCGGGGCUUGAUCGCCCUUCGAAAGCCGCUCGCAUCUUUAUAAUAUACCCUUACAAAAGUCUCGGAAUGAAACCCUGCGUUAACCGCAAAAAAAAUACAACUUUCAGCAACGGAUCUCUUGGCUCUCGCAUCGAUGAAGAACGCAGCGAAAUGCGAUAAGUAAUGUGAAUUGCAGAAUUCAGUGAAUCAUCGAAUCUUUGAACGCACCUUGCGCUCUCUGGUAUUCCGGAGAGCACGCCUGUUCGAGUGUCAUGAAACUCUCAAGCAAGAAUUAAGCUUUAUUGCUUGAUUCUUGAUUGGAUUUGGACUCUUGCCGCGUUAUUGCGGCUGGUCUUAAAAGUAUUAGCUGGUCUGUAAGAAAUCUUUGGGUUUGACUUGGCGUAAUAAUCUUAUUCGCUGAGGACACUUCGGUGGCCUAAUUUCUUUACUGGACUGCUUCUAAUCGUCUCCUUUGUGAGACAACUUUCAUUCAAUCUGACCUCGAAUCAGGUGGGACUACCCGCUGAACUUAAGCAUAUCAAUAAGCGGAGGAAAAGAAACUAACAAGGAUUCCCCUAGUAACGGCGAGUGAAGCGGGAUGAGCUCAAAUUUAAAAUCUGGUGGUCUUUGGCCAUCCGAGUCGUAAUCUAGAGAAGUGUUUUCCGUGCUGGACCGUGUACAAGUUUCCUGGAACGGAACGUCAUAGAGGGUGAGAAUCCCGUCCUUGACACGGACUACCAGUGCUUUGUGAUACACUCUCAACGAGUCGAGUUGUUUGGGAUUGCAGCUCAAAAUGGGAGGUAAAUUCCUUCUAAAGCUAAAUAUUGGCGAGAGACCGAUAGCGAACAAGUACCGUGAGGGAAAGAUGAAAAGCACUUUGGAAAGAGAGUUAAACAGUACGUGAAAUUGUUAAAAGGGAAACGCUUGAAGU